UGCUCAUCCUCUAAGUGAUCAAUGC
Molecule: non-coding RNA, 25 nt
Filed under: Drosophila melanogaster (fruit fly)
Lineage: Eukaryota; Metazoa; Arthropoda; Insecta; Diptera; Drosophilidae
Source: RNAcentral